RNAcentral lists this ribosomal RNA (460 nucleotides) under uncultured bacterium. RNAcentral describes it as "bacterial SSU rRNA". It matches the Rfam family "Bacterial small subunit ribosomal RNA", at positions 34 to 507 of the family's 1533-position model. The record is from RNAcentral.
CGCUGGCGGCGUGCCUAACACAUGCAAGUCGAACGGAGUUAAGCCCUUCGGGACUUAACUUAGUGGCGAACGGGUGAGUAACGCGUGAGGAACCUGCCUUUCAGUGGGGGACAACAGUUGGAAACGACUGCUAAUACCGCAUAACAUGUACGGAUCGCAUGGUCUGUACAUCAAAGCUUUAUGUGCUGAAAGAUGGCCUCGCGUCUGAUUAGCUAGUUGGUGGGGUAACGGCCCACCAAGGCGACGAUCAGUAGCCGGACUGAGAGGUUGAACGGCCACAUUGGGACUGAGAUACGGCCCAGACUCCUACGGGAGGCAGCAGUGGGGAAUAUUGGGCAAUGGGCGAAAGCCUGACCCAGCAACGCCGCGUGAAGGAAGAAGGCCUUCGGGUUGUAAACUUCUUUUAGUAGGGACGAAGAACGUGACGGUACCUACAGAAAAAGCAACGGCUAACUACGUG